AGCUGAGACAAGCACAAAUCAGGAGCUUUUACGGCCCAACGUCAACGUUCACCCUCAGCCGGGGGAGGUUUCAGUUCAAGUUGGGGAAACUACGAGGAGGCAGGAGCCAAGCACAGAUUGGAUCAGCCCAUCAACAGCUGGAGUGGGCGGGGCGAUGACCAUAUAUGGUGUUUUGUUUAAAGCAGCCGUCAUGGGGAAUAUCCACACUGUUGGGCCAAAUGAAGCCCUCAUAGUUUCAGGAGGGUGGUGCGGCUCCCAACAGAAGCGGACCAUCGUCGGCGGCUGGGCCUGGGCCUGGUGGGCCGUCACCGACGUCCAGUCACUCAGCCUCGAGACGAUGACGCUGAACCCGAUGUGUGAGCGCGUGGAGACGGCGCAGGGCGUGCCGCUCACCGUCAACGCCGUGGCCCAGUGCAAGAUCAUCAAACAGGACGACAUCCUGAAGACGGCCUCCGAACAGUUCCUCGGAAAGUCGGUGGAGGACAUCGAGCUUACCAUACUGCAGACGCUCGAGGGACACCUGCGGGCCAUCCUCGGAACGCUGACCGUGGAGGAGAUAUUCAAGGACCGGGACCAGUUCGCCGCCCUGGUGCGCGAGGUGGCCGCCCCGGACGUCGGACGCAUGGGUGUGGAGAUCCUCAGUUUCACCAUCAAGGACGUGUACGACUCGGUGGAGUACCUCUCGUCGCUGGGUCGCACGCAGACGGCCGCCGUCAAGAGAGACGCCAACACCGGCGUGGCCAUGGCGCAGCGGGAUGCCGGCAUCCGGGAGGCCGAGUGCGAGCGCGCCGCCAUGGACGUCAAGUACAGUACCGACACCAAGAUCGAGGACAACACCAAGGCGUUCAAGCUGCAGAAGGCCCAGUUCGACCGGGAGGUCAACACGGCGAGGGCAGAGGCACAGCUCGCCUACGAACUGCAGGAGGCGAAAGAGAAGCAGAGAAUUCGAAACGAGGAGAUCUCCAUCGACAUCAUCGAAAGGAAAAAGCAGAUUCAGGUGGAGGAGAAGGAGAUUCAGCGUAAGGAGAAGGAGCUCACCGGCACCGUCAAGCUGCCCGCCGAGGCCGAGAGCUACAAACUGGAGGCGCUCGCAGAGGGUAAACGGUACCAGACGGUCGAGCUGGCCAAGGCCGAGGCGGAGACGAUUCGGCUGAUUGGCACUGCCGAGGCGGUCGGCAUCGAGGCGGUCGGGCGCGCCGACGCCGAGCGGAUGCGCAUGAAGGCGGCAGCGUACCGUCAGUAUGGCGACGCCGCCAUGGCGGCCAUGGUGCUGGAGGCGCUGCCCAAGAUUGCCGCCGAGAUCUCCGCGCCGCUCUCCAAGGUGGACGAAAUGGUGCUUCUGGGUGGCGAGGACAAGAUCACAUCGGAGCUGACACGGCUGGUCGGCCAGGUGCCGCCGGCGCUGAACGCCCUCACCGGCGUCGACCUCUCAAAGGUGCUGUCCAAGGUGCCGGGAGCGGAGGUGAAGUAAUCCGCUCCGACCGAGCAGCUCGGGCCGCCGCUGCCGCGCCGCCCUGGGGCCGGCAGCCGCGGCCGUCCUACCUCGGAUGGCGUAUGUCGACCGGGUGCUGUGCCGCCGCCGGGCGCCACGCAGCACGCGAAUCUCAUCCCUCAGCCUUGCCAAACCUAUCCCGCACCCGGGGGGGGGGGGGGGGCAGAAGCUUCCCCAUGCCCGUCCAUCGACGUCAAACAUAAGUACCUUGUCACACGUCGUUUUGACAUAUUCCUUUAAAAUUUUAACAAAAUCCGCCACAAAGUUUCUGAGAAAAUGAUGUUUUAGUGACGUCAAGUCACGCCGUUUUCGCUUCAAGGGCUGCAAAAAUUCAAACGACUUUAACACCUUCAAUUCUUAAUCACGAGGUAAAAAGAAUGUACGUGAUUUUACUAGAGGUAAAAAGAAUGCACGUGAUUUACUAGAGUUAAGAAGAAUGUACGUGAUUUUACUUUUUCAUUCAAUUGAAUGAAAUAAUGUUGUUAAAUUUCAAACUUUGAAAAUGUUCAAAAACCUAUUUCUUAGGAAAAGACCGCUAUAAAAUAAAAAUUUUGAAUUUAACGAAAGUUCAACUUCGAGAAGUAGGUACGGUCUGCGGCCUGCGCACCUAUAUUCCAAUUUUUAGAAGAUUUGGUUAAUUUUUUCGGAUUUCAGUAACGUCACGACGCACAAAAUUUUCAAAAACAAAUUUUAGGGACUUGCCUAAGUGCAGGAAUAAAAUGACAGUAUCGGAUUCGAUGUGAAAACUGCACCAGAUUGAUGCGUUUUUGGUCUCAAAAUCAACUAAAUAAUUUGGCCUCAAUUGACCUGACAUGGAAAUGAACUUCAUGCACAUAUGGUCAAUUUUACUAAUUAAGUAUGCCCAAUGCCCAUUGAGUUAUAUGCGUAAAACGACCCGGGAAGCAUGUGCUGCACAUAUCCUAUUCUAUAGUUCGUCUUUGGUGACUUGACCUGACCUUCACCUUAGCAAACAUUGUAUGCAAUGCUCAUGCAUUAUGGUUAAGAACGUAUUUUGGGUGACGAAUCUCAGUAAAUUCUUCGCCAACUGGGCUCCAAAGCUGGUACUGUAGAAACUCAGUAUUUUUUACCCUCGACCUGACCUGUGACUAACUUGGGCAGAACAAUUUGUUCUCAACUGUCAGACUUGUUGAGAGCUUUCAAUGGCCGUUUCACCCGCCUUUCUGAGACCAUCCUUUCGGAACAGCCCCCUCCCCCCCCCGCCCGUGGGCGCGCUAUGGGUGAAUAGUCGAGCGAGCGCGGGAUAAAAGGCAUUCUGGACCAUUCUGCAGCACAUAUAUGUGUAUCAACCUUGCCUUUGCUCGUUUAACGGUUUAAUCGAAUCCGCCACGAUAGAUCAGUUUACUAACGCUCAUUACGGGGUUUAGUAUAGGAGUCGCUUACCAGUAGAUUACCAGACAUGACAUAGCUAAUCGCACAAUAUUGCUGCCAUCGCCCCUUUUCAGUUAGUUGCGACGUCUCAACUCGCCUCCUGAAGUUGGUUUCGCACGCUAUUGUUCGGAAAACACCAUUCUUCUGCCGACUGUGAAGGCCAGCUGACUGCCGUACGUGCUACUUCAGUACACUCAGCGCGGCGUGCGGAGGGGUGUGUGCGCGCUGCCGGGAGUGCCUGCCGCCGCGCCGUGCCGCGCCGUGCCGUGUCGUGCCGUCCUGUUCCGUGUAGUCAGCCGGGGAGCGCGCGCCGUCGGGCCCUUGGUCAGUCACCAGAUCUGGCACACCUGGCCGGACGCUGCGCGCCCGUGUCGCCGGUCAUUUUAUCCCACCGCGAACGUGUUGAGCGGCUGGGCUCCUGGCCCGCCGAGUGAGCGGCUCAUGCUCUGCCGAGUGUACUAAACAAAUCCUAUAGCCAGGAUGGGAAUUUUCCAGUCUGUCUGUCGCCUUUAUCGGCAGCCCAGCUGUCUGGAAUGGAAGCACGCUUACGCAUGUUGACAUUAUCUUAGUUCUAGACUUGUGUAUUGCUGCGUAGGCCGCAGUGUACAUUUGACUGCAGAAUUGGAAUGAAGUACCACUUUCCACAGUCAAUCAGUUGUCCGGAGUGGUAGUCUGUGCCCCACGGGCAGAGUUCACAGUGACCCAGCUCUCAGCUUAAUUGCGUGAUGAACGGCACAGACAAGCGCUCCAGUCAACUGAUGGCUUCUGAAGAGUGGAACAUCUUUCUGUACCUAUCGACACCUUUUUUUAAACCCCACAUCUGCUCUCCCGUGAAUUUCCGGGAGGCACGAAAGAUCUCCUUUUAAAAGUGUCCAAUCGUCCGAUCCUGAUCAAAUAUGUGUGUUCGUAGGCUUGUUCUGGUAUUGCUUUAUCUGCCAAGACAGACAAACUUGAGAAAAAUCGAUUGAUUGUACCUUUUUUGAAGGUCUCUAACCAACUUGUCUGAAAUUCACCGGAGAACAAAUGUGGGGUUUAAAAAAAGGUGUCGAUAUAUAGUCAACCGUACAUAUGUUCUGGCGCCAAUGUUUUGCAUGUGUUGCAUGUGUUGCAUGUGCUGACUGCUGUUUUCGGGCAAGUAGCGGGCCUUUGCGGCGGAUGUCUGCGGGCGGCCAGGUUCGGCGCGCCGACGCGGGGGCGCGGCCCGGCCGCCAGACAUUGUUCGGUGGCUUGUCAAUGUGUGCUGGGAUUGUUUAGUGGCUUGGCAGUGCGUGCUUGGCCGGCGGCUAGUCAAUACAAAGCGUCUGGGCCGCCGCUCGGUGGCCGGCCGGCGUAUAUGUAUACCAAUCGACAGGGAAUAUGAAAGGUGAAGUGCCUGGGUGUGGUGAAUAAUGACUAGUUUUGGUCGAG
This 4288-nucleotide unclassified non-coding RNA is filed under the name Amphibalanus amphitrite. RNAcentral describes it as "flotillin-2-like, transcript variant X3". The record is from RNAcentral. Lineage: Eukaryota; Metazoa; Arthropoda; Thecostraca; Balanomorpha; Balanidae.